Molecule: ribosomal RNA, 109 nt
Filed under: Tanakia limbata (oily bitterling)
Lineage: Eukaryota; Metazoa; Chordata; Actinopteri; Cypriniformes; Acheilognathidae
Description: partial 16S ribosomal RNA
Source: RNAcentral
GCUAAAUAGCUAGCUCAAACAUUUAAAUAACCCUAGAAUAUUAAUACAAAACAUUAUUUUAACAGAUAAACUAAAUCAUUCUUUUACCUGAGUAUGGGCGACAGAAAAG